RNAcentral lists this long non-coding RNA (1649 nucleotides) under Olea europaea subsp. europaea. The record is from RNAcentral. Lineage: Eukaryota; Viridiplantae; Streptophyta; Magnoliopsida; Lamiales; Oleaceae.
AUGACAUUCUCAAACUUCAUCACCGAUGAGACAAAUUUAAUCAAAAUUUCCUUGAGAUUAAUGAAAAAUCUAAAUGCCAAUCUUGGAGUUUUCUGUCCAAAUUGUUCGCUGUCAGUAAAUCAUGAACCCUAACAAUUUAUUCGAUAAAUCUGUUUUAGGUUUUUGGCCAUAGAAUAUGAAGAGUUUCAUUGUCACAGAAUGAAUUUGCCUUUAAAAUCAAUAAUCUGUUUUAAGUCGUACACGAGGUAUGCUUCCAUGUAUGGCAGCUCUUUCGCAUAGUAAUUGUGCUUCUGAAGACAUACUCCCAGAUGCCUGGAUAAAUUCAUUUUGCAGCAUAUGAGACAACGGAAACAUAUUUGUUAGUACCAACAAUCCAAGCACUCGCGGUUGCUGAUAUCAUAUUCAUCUCUUACAGAAUUUAGUAGCUCUACUUGUUCCCUCAUUGAGUACAAGUUUCCUUUUAUGUGUUUAAAUUCCUAAAGAAAUAUCUCAAGUGAUCUCCACGAGAAUACUAAAGAGAAAGAAACACAAAACAGGUACAUGAAAUAUAUGCAGAAAAUAUGCAACAAGAAUGAGCAGAAAAGCUUCAAAACCCCUCUGCGCAAUGCAAAAGUUUCAAAUCAAAACAAUAUAAAAGCAUUACAAGAAUGGAGAUAAUCAGUAAAACAUAGGAACCAUAAGAAUUUUUUUCUUAUCAUAAUCACUAAAUAGAAAAGCCAACAGCCAAAACAUUCACUUAAAUAAUGCAUAAUUGGUAUAAUAAAUGUUUAUAGAACUUGUCUUAUAAUUAGCAAUAUGUUCUAAAUACAUAAUCGUACAACACCUAUCCCUUUCAUCCAAUUUGCUCUAUGACAUGCAUUACUAUCUUAUUUGAUUCUCCCUUCUCGUAGUCAGAAGUUACUAGAAAAAUUAGACCAUGGAAAAUUUGUACAGCUCCAAAAGUUAGUGCACUCUCUACUUCAGCGAGAUCUUAAUGAAUAUUAUGAGUUCCUAGCAAUCCUUUCAGUUGUCUAAAUACUAAUCUACAUGCUCUUACUCUCAGUUGUUAAGAUCAGGUAGAUAAAUUCCAAUGCCCCUCUUAUUGAUCUUUUAUGUUACAAGUCAGCAGCAUUUAAAGGUAAAAUUGAAAAAACUGUAAAAAAUAUAGUGAACUGAACAACUUAACCUUGGACAUCUGAGCGAAGUGCAUAAAACAUCAUGUAAAACAGCCUCAUGAAACUUCACAGAACUCAGUCUCCGCAAGACAAACAGCCAAAACAUAAUUUUUCCCUUUAUCUAAAAAAAAGAUGGGUUCAUCUCAUUCUUUCAAUAAAUGAUAAAGAUAAUCUAAGUACACAUCUAGAAGCUUUUCGUGUUUACCUCUCAGGCUUUCACUGAAAAAGUUACUUUCUAAACCUGCAUAGUGCUUAUUCAAUGUAUUAUGUAUUCAUCUAGUCAGAAGUAAAAGCCAUUUGAUUCAUGUAAACAUGGGAUAACCCAUAUUGAUUACAACUUCCCAUUUAAUAGUAAGGACUUCCUUUAGUUAAUAACACCAUACAAGCAUUCAUUAAACAGUCUACACAGAAAAGAUAUUUGAAGCACAGAAAUGGGGACUCAUUAGAAUGAUUCUUAUCCUGACCCUUAUGAGCAUGGAAAAGGUGACGAAGGUU